RNAcentral lists this ribosomal RNA (262 nucleotides) under uncultured bacterium. Its description in RNAcentral is "partial 16S ribosomal RNA". It matches the Rfam family "Bacterial small subunit ribosomal RNA", at positions 793 to 1055 of the family's 1533-position model. The record is from RNAcentral.
GUCCACGCCGUAAACUAUGGGUACUAGCUGUCGGGCGGUCUUACCCGCUCGGUGGCGGCGCUAACGCAUUGAGUACCCCGCCUGGGAAGUACGGUCGCAAGAUUAAACUCAAAGGAAUUGACGGGGCCCGCACAAGCGGUGGAGUAUGUGGUUUAAUUCGACGCAACGCGAAAACCUUACCUAGGCUUGACAUCCCGCGCAUAACCAUGAAAGUGGUGAAUUCCCGCAAGGGACGCGGUGACAGGUGCUGCAUGGCUGUCGU